Molecule: ribosomal RNA, 313 nt
Filed under: uncultured Coxiella sp.
Lineage: Bacteria; Pseudomonadati; Pseudomonadota; Gammaproteobacteria; Legionellales; Coxiellaceae
Description: bacterial SSU rRNA
Rfam family: Bacterial small subunit ribosomal RNA
Source: RNAcentral
GAACGCUGGCGGCAUGCCUUACACAUGCAAGUCGAACGGCAGCGGGGGGAGCCUGCUCCCUGACGGCGAGUGGCGGACGGGUGAGUAACACGUAGGAAUCUACCUUAAUUAUAAUAGUUAGUGGGGGAUAACCCGGGGAAACUCGGGCUAAUACCGCAUAAUCUCUUCAAAGCAAAGCGGGGGAUCUUCGGACCUCGUGCUAUGAGAUGAGCCUGCGUCGGAUUAGCUAGUUGGUAGGGUAAUGGCCUACCAAGGCGACGAUCCGUAGCUGGUCUGAGAGGACGAUCAGCCACACUGGGACUGAGACACGGCC